Molecule: long non-coding RNA, 12100 nt
Organism: Gallus gallus (chicken)
Lineage: Eukaryota; Metazoa; Chordata; Aves; Galliformes; Phasianidae
Exons: 5
Source: RefSeq, a predicted model, not a curated record
CUUUUCCCGCCGCGGCCGUGCCGCAGCGGGCCGCCAGGUGGCAGCGCUGUCCCAGGGCAGGCGCUGGGCAGGCCGGGCACGGCCACAACGGUAACCCCGCACCCGCGGCGGGGAUUCGUUCUGGGCCUCCAUUUCUGUUCGCGGAGCCGCGGGCUCAGAACGUGCAAAGCAGCGGUCGGGAUUCCUCAGCGCAGAGGGGCUGGAAGAUAACUCGAUGAGUCUACGGCACUGGCCGUACUGUUCUUGAAAUAUGCUUGUUCUGAAGGCAGCACACAGACCAGUUCUGGAGGCCUGGUUUUUAUUUUUAUUUCUUUUUUUUUUUUUUUUUUUUUCCUUUUAGCUUAGAGCUGCAGUUACACACCAGCGAUUUAAUAGUGGGAUUGUUCCUCUGAUAAGCACCAGCUGAAACUGAGGUACUCGACUCACUGUUCUCCGCCUGGCAGAGCUCAGGGACGAACGGCUCUGAGUGCUGACACCACAGCUAAAAGGAAAGCCUACAGUGUGCUUUAUGUCACCUCUGUACGCUUCACUUCUUUCUGACAGAGAUGUGAGACGGAGGUGAGAGACUCCUAAAAUGAACCCAUUCAGUGAAAACUUUGAAACCCCACGCAUCUUUUCAUUAGAAGCCCCCCCCAAAAAUCAAAUGCAUUUACCAGCUCAUACCUACUGCCUGGAUUUCGUAUUAGUCACAAUAUAGUAACAACUAAACCUGUGUUGGAAUGUCACUGUUAUCAUUUCUUUACACCCUGGUGAAACACCCACACUAACAGCAGAUGUACCCUCUUUUGGCUGCAAGUUUUCCCUUACAAGUUGUAGCAUGAUAAGGGAUAUUCGCCUAUUCUAAAUAAGUGCUCAGAAAGUAGAAUACAUUGCUAUGUUACGUUAUCUGAUGUUUGAAUUUCUCCAAUUGCCCCGAUUUGAAAUCCCAAUUUAAGAAAAAAGCAAAUGAGAACAAUUCAUAGCUCAAAGGACUGAGACUUAUGUGACGUAUCUGUAGCCACUGGAUUCAGGCGACAUAUUUUGAAAGUAUCUGUGGUUUCUUUGCAAUUUCGUUAAUCACAGAAUCACAGAAUGGUUUGGAAAGGACCUCAAGGACCAUCCAGCUCCAGCCCCUGCUAUGGGCAGUGCCUCCACCAGCUGAGGCUGCCCAUCUGACCAGGCCUUGAGCACCUCCAGGCAUGGGGCACCACAGCUCUCUGGGCAGCAGUGCCAGGGCCUCACCGUCCUCUGAGUGAGGAAUUUCCUCCUAACAACUAACCUAAAUCUCCAAAUCUCCCCUCUGUUGGUUUGAAACUGCUACACCUUGUCACUAUCCGUCCACGUAACAGGUCUCUUUCCCUCCUGUUUAUCGGCCCCUUCAGGUACUGGAAGGCUGCAGUGAGGUGACCCUGGAGCCUUCUCUUCUCCAGGCUGAACAAGCCCGGCUCCCUCCCUCAGCCUUUCUUCACAGGAGAGGUUAAGCAGCACUUUGCUCCAUAGUGUGUUGAGUUCAUUCUGAAGCAGCAGGUAGCGGUAGGAUCGCAGCCCUGCAUGCUUUGCUGCUUUUCUUUUUUAUUAAAUACAAAUGCAAAUCAUGAUCGCUAUUUCUGUGAAGUACUAUAAAGCAAUUUGUAUAGUUAUUGUCAAAGAGUAAUUAGAGCAAUAAUCUCCCCUCAUAAAAUGUCCCACGUGCUGAUAGGAUACAUUUUAAACGGUACAAAGCAGGAAACAAGUUUUUCAUCUCCAGGAGCCAGCACCCUUUGCCUUUAAGUUCUCAGCGUCUACUGCAAGAGAUGGCCCAGCAGCUGCGCCUGCGACCAUGCUGCUGGCUGAACACCCACACCAAACCAAACGAAAACCCAAACUUUUAUCUCAGCUAAACCUUACGGUAGAAACUCUUGACUAUUCCAUGAGACGGACCACACAUGCAUCCUGAAGCACAGCAUUUUAUUUUCACUUUCAGUGCAACUCAACGGCAUGCAGAGGUCAGGAUAAGAAAAAGAUCACGCAUUUGUAAACCUAGGAGUGUCUGAGAGACCGCUGGAGUGAACUGUACUACCAGCAGUGUGUGCCUACUUCCUCUUGAAAGUCAUUCUUAAGGGCUGGGCAGCAAUUUCUGCUACAUUCUUGAUAAAGUACCACCUAAUGUGCCUCAUUCACUACUUCUGACUAUAUCCAAUCCUACGUUCUAAAAACUCACACAUCUUUAAAAGAUGAAAAAGAGACAGUAUGAAGUGCAGGCAAGAGGCAGCACACAUCUGAUGCACUUUUCCCUAGUUCCACUCCUAAACUCCUGUCAGACUUUUCUUCACGCUCAUGUCACUGUCAGAUUUUGCUGAUUUUAUGAAUAAAUCAUUAAAAUGCUGAACAACCCUAUUUGUAAGCUGAGUGCUGCAGAGUCAUUACUAAGAACGGCUGUCCUCUGUGACUCAGUUCACUGCUCUUUAAACACUUUUUAAAUCAAGACAAGCCUUUUCUUAGUAGUUCAGGGCUAUUUAAUGUUUUUAAAUGUGAUUUUUUUUUUUUUUUUGUUAAAUCUGAUAAAUACAGCUUGCUGGGCUCCCUCUGUCUCCCAGUGUACUGUACUGAGAAAGCAUUCAUUCUACAAUGUUAAAGUUUGUCUCUCGUUCAGAACUCGCUUUGCUUUGACUUCAGAGAUAGUUUAUUCAGCUGAAAUCAUCAGUAGGAAAUCAGCCCGUCAGAAAAUCUCAGUCACAGAGCACCCUCUGAGCCGGCUUUGUGCAUCUGAAUCAUGCCACCACCACCUUACUACUCGCAUGUUCCCAUGUCUGCCAGGCUCUGCACGACAAACGAGCCUUGCAGUCUCCUCUGCGGUGUGGGCUCCCCCCGUAACUCCAGGGAACUCCUUUGAGUCAUAAAAAUGUACGUAUAAGUUUGUGAUUUUCCUGUCUCUGCCGCUGGCUUUCUCUAAGGAUUUAUAACAUGAAGGUGUCACUGCUCAGAGUUUACCUUGGAAUGCUUAACCUCCGUCUAUAAGCAGAGGGCUUAAUAUACUAUGCAGCAGUACAUGGAAUCAUAGAAUCGUCCAGUCUGGAAGGAAGCCAUAAAGGAUGUGUGGUCCAACUGCACUGCAAUAAACAGGGGCACCUACAGCUCCAUCAAGUUGCUCAGAGCUCCAUCCAGCCUGGCCUUGAAUGGGCUCCAGGAGCAUCAUCGUGGUGUAACAAAGCAUGAACGGCUGUGGCUUAUUCCCACAGCAGGAGGCUGGCAAAAGCUACCCAUAUAAUGGAGCAAUUUAACCAUACUGGACUUUGUAAUGAUGCAUCUACGAGUGCUGAAAAACAAAACUUCCUUUUUUCUUUUCCUCAUCACGCAUCGGAGUGAAAUAUGGCAACAGCAAAAUGACACUCUUUUACUUCAUUUCACACACAACAGUCUGCUGCUUUAGGUGAGAAAAACAACUGCAUGUGAACACUCAAGGCAACACCAUGCCUUUGUAGCAGCAGAAUCAAGGUCUGAGAGAGUAGAAGGAUCAAGGUCUGAGAGCAGAACUUUGUCACCUGCACCUUCACAUACUCUCUGCUGCAUGUAAGGUUUUCAACAGCCACUGUUUAAAUAAUAAAUCUCUUGCCCCACCCAGGAUCAUUAAUUUGAACUGUCAACAAUCUAGUUUCCUUUCUGGUAGCCCCUCCCUCUUUUUCCUUUUCUUUUUUGGUACAUUCUGUAGGACUCCUAGCUCAUGGCAUUUCAUUUUGCAUCCUCGGCCUUUCUCUAGCUGCUCCUCCAAGGGAUGAGGUUUUGGCUUUUUUUCUAAAGCCCUACUGCUGGGGCUUGGCACCCCGUGACCUGAUUCCCCCAGUGUUGCAUGUCAGCUUACCCAUGAGGUUUCUGCUGCUGUGCUGCGUAACAGGCUGCGUGUGGUUCCUCGAUUGAGCACACGCGUGCCUCAUAAGCAGCCCGCGCACAGCUCGAGCGGCACGUUUCCAUUUCCUUUACAUGACAAGCAGCAAACAGACAGCAAAGUGCCCAGCUAUGCCACAGCAUGACAUGAAAUGAUAGCGCUGCAGGAGGAGAGACAGUGCUGGGCGACAGCUGCCGGUGCUCCAGCACAGCUACACUCCACUGGCUCCUGUUUAUCUCAGUAAUGUGGCAAAACUGGCCUGACCCCUGCAACUACACCCUACUCUUAAUAGGAGGAUGGACUCGUUGACCUCUCCAAGUUCUCUGCAGAUGUAUUUCUCCGAACUUCCUUACUAUGCUGUGGCAUGGCUGUUUCGCAUCCCCUGAUGGCCAUUCAUACAUCACACAUGUUGCAAACCCUCUGUGACAUAGAGACUGUGGAAUAGCUCCUACCCAAACCAAACUCCCCCAAAGCAAUCCAUCUUCCAACACCGCUUUAUGUCUAACAACAACUCCUUGGCUCCCUAAACUGUGUUUUGGAAGGUGGCAAGUAUGGCAAGCCAACUGUUUGUUUAACAUUUCUAUGCCAGGAGGGGAGAGAAGUUCGCCAAGCUGGAUUACGGUGGGUGGCAAAUGAGAACUGAGCCUUGAGCUGAUGGAUUUUUUUGUCUUCCUUGGAGAUAAGGCGGAGGAACAGAAGAAAGUAGGAGCCGCAGGUUCAAGUCAAUGGCAGUAAUUGUACCAGCUGUUGCAGAAAAUUAGCAAACGGUUAGAGGCACAGAAGAGGAGGAGAAAAGACUCAGCAAUAUAGAUGAUGGAAAGAAGUAGGGCUGCAAAAUGUUACUCACCACCAGAGGAAUGGAGCAGAUGAGCACCACCAGGGAAGUGGCAAUGAGCAGAAUAACCAUCUGGAUCUCUGCUCCAGCCAUCCGACGGAAGCUCCGGCGUCUGCGAAAGUCAGAUAAGCGGCUGGAGGUGGUGUCUGUCCCCAGCGAUGUGCGCCGCAUGAACUGGCGGUGCAUGCGAAUGAGGGCCACGCAGACCAGGAUGUUGCAGAUCACCGUAACCAUGAUCAGGAAGGAGCUGAAGCCGGCAUACAUGUAUGAGUACGCUGCAUGAGUGGCCUUCUCUGCUCGCCAGUCUAUGAAACACCAGGUGUCAGGGUACUGCAAGGUUGAUUUGCUGAGCCCCAUGCUGGGGAGGGCACAGAACAGCACGUUGGAAGCAUAGAUGGCAAAGAGCGUGAGCCCUGCCAGCUUCUUAUCUACGUAAUGGUUGUAGAAAUAGGCAUGGUUGAUGGCCAGGUACCUUUCUAUAGACAUGGCACAGAUAAUGCUGAGUCCAGAGAGUCCAAAGAAGAGGAGGAUGAAGGAGCUGUACUCACACAGCGCCGGUCCUCCCGGCCAGCGAUUCUGCAGCAGGGGUGUGGAGGCUGUUUGUUUUGUUGUGUCUGGCAGUUGAUGGCCAUGGUGGAAGCAGACAGAACCCAGCAAGUCCUUAACUAACAGGUCCUACUGAUGCCUAGCUCUUCUGAUUUUCCAAAUGAGAGACUUGAAGAGUGAAGUUUCUUUCCAAGGAUCCUUACUGUAAAUGCAUGAUGAUGUUUAUGUGCUAGAAAUUUCAACAAAGUGACAGACUUUUUCCGUUUUUUUUCUUUCCUUUACAUGUGAUAACAGAGCCCAGGAGUCUGUUAACAGCCGUUUUCUGUAGUUGUGAAGAAAGAACUGAGGUUGUUUGUUUGUGUUUGGAAGUUGAAACUUGUAUCUAGUGUUAAAACUAUAUGCAACUUUGAUGAAGUCAGCAGGCUUAGUAUUUUUGCAGCCAGAUUAAGAGUCAGGGAUGUGGCUCAGUUCAUAAUAUGACUGUACCAUUCCAUUCCUUGUUUUCCUACUUGACUUUGGUGUUCUUCAAUAUCUAUUUGAAAAAUAAAACAAAGUUUCUUUGGAAAAAUCUGCUACCUCUACAAACUGAAUUUUCUGUUUCUGUUCUGGUUAAGCACUCCAAGAAGAUUGUCAAUAGUCUCUAGUUGACAUGUUUCCUUCUGGACCAUCUUUGGAAAGAAGGCAGAGUCUGCAGCAUGAAGGCUGGCCUUGCAUGUGAUUGGAAUCUAGAUGGGAGUCAUGAUCAGCUCAAAAAUUUAAUGAAGUUUCUUCUUGUACCAUCCUGCCUACUGUGGGCUGGCUUGAAAGUAUUUCCAGCUUUCAAGACAAGUAGUUUAUUGAAAAUUAAUGCCUUCUCUUUACUUCCAUGGAAACUACAACAGAUACAAAGCAAAAAAAUAACACUGUUUGAUAGAGCAAAUUCUCGGCUACAGAACACUAUUUUUCAGCAUAAUUUCUACCAUUAGCUCUGCAGUUUCACCAGUGAUGAAUUGCCUGCAUUUUGCACUCAUUAAAAUUUGCAGAGCCAUCCAGAACGUGUCUUUUAUGUCACUGUUACUGCUACUAAAACACAACACCCACUGCCUCGCUGUGCUCGCAUCCACUGUCUCCAUCAGCUUUCAGGAAGCACUGAUGAAUGUCAGUGGGUGCCAUUUUUUCCAAGUGCAGGAAUUCUGUGGCACAACUUUGCUUCAUCCGUGCUUCCAUGUCAGAUGCCAUUUCAUCAGAGUGCCCCUCUGUUGCUAUCUGUCACGCAGUAACAAAAAGUAACAGGAUAUUGGUGGAAAGGUUCAACCUCUACUGCCACACCACCACCAUCUGCCUUUGACAUUGUGGGCCAACACAAUAAAAAUGGGAGGCAUUAUUUUUGGAGCAGUGCUAGUAAAUUAGCAAUAAAUAGUGCUAUGCUGUGGCUUUUUCCUAAUAAACACUGUGGCUGAACUCUUUGGGAAAUGGUUUUUUUGUGGGUUUUUUUGUUUGUUUGUUUGUUUUCUUCUUUUUUUUAAGUACUUGCCAUUACAGUUAUUCAGGAGGUUUUCCUACAUGUAACUCCUGUAUGUAAUCUAAUCUUGCAUGGUGUGAAUUAUAUCACAUUGAGCUUUGAAUUCUGAAAGAUUCCAGGACUAAGAAAAAUAACACAAACCAACAAGCUACUGGAUGCUAUGUAAAUCAGCAGCUUGUUACUUAGGAAAAAAAAAAAAAAAAAAAAGGAAAAAAGAAAUCUAUUUCUGCUCAUUUAAGAAAGGUUAGUUUUGUGGGAAUGAUUCAUGUAUUAAGUGACUCAGUUAUCUAAGAUGACACUUGCUGCAAAAUUAUUGGAGCAAACCCCAGCUCUAGUAAGCCUGCAGCAACAGACAGACUAUGUUUGCAACUGAAUGCUUUCAAGAAUCUCUGUGCAAAGUUAAUAAGGAAAUGUUUUCUUGCCUGUAAGUUCUUUGUUAUUCCAGCAGAGGGUAGUUUAUCCUCUGGGAAGCUAGGUGUGUUGAAGGAAUUGAUUAGGAAAGGUAACUUAAUGAUUCCCAUUUCCUCUUAUUUGAUAUAGAGUAAUAAAAAUUAAUUUCAACUGACUGACCUCAUCAGAUGAACAAACACAGAAAUGUACUGCUAGGCUACAGUCUGUUCUUAGUUUGGAACUGAAAAAGACAGCCAAACUCAACAGCAGUUCCAUUUCUGUUCUGCCACAAAGCACUUCAUUUGCCCUUUAAGAAUUACUGCAGUUUGCUCAUGCUGAGAGCAGUUUCAUUAUCAGCCUAGCGCUUAAGAGCUACUUGACUUUUGUUUGGCAGCUGGUGAAGUAGAUACAACACAAAAGCCUUUUGCACUGAAUGCACAGACUUGUUCCCAUUGAAGAAUAUUUGGCUUGUUGAUUGUUUAUAGUUGCUUAAAAACUCUCUGAGAUCUGGAAUGAUGCAACUAUAUCUGAUCUUACCCCUACUAUCUAAGGCAAGGGUAUCUUACUGGCAGUAGUAAGUCAUAGCAGACAGGUAUUAAAGCCUGCUAUGACGUUAGGAGUUGUUCCACUGGUGGUCAUUUCCAUCUCUUAUUUCUGUUGCUGGAUCCACUGCUACAGCAGCUGAUGCUCAGAAGCACAUACGUUUGUGCACUAAGGUGGUAGUUCACCUUGCACCUGAUCUCUGCUAUAUUGAUAGUGUGUGGUGACUACUGGGGACAGUCUUUGUAAGUUCUCAUUUUCUCUGGUGUUUUAAUUCAAAGCCAUCACCAGGAAGCAGUGCUGUCUGUAAGCUGCUGUAGCUGUCAGUCUCAGACAGGCAAUUUAAUAAGUCAAAUUUAGCUGUAACCCUCUGUGUACCAGAUGUUUUCCCCAUCUUCCAGUUUUGAAUCUACAUUCAGAUAGAAAUUUGAAUCUACAUUCAGUAAAUAGAAAACUCUACUGUUUUCUAUUUACUGUAUAAAAGAACUGUCUGUAAUGAGAAUGAAUGAGGUAGCUAAACUCUAUGUAGAGACAAUACAGAUAUAAUUAAUUACCUUGAUUCCUUUUUUUUUUUUUUUUUUGUUAAACUUCAUGAGGUUGACAUGGGCCUACUUCUCAAGCCUGUCCAGAUCCCUUUGGAUAGCAUCCCUUCCCUCUAGCGUGACAACUGCACCACUCACUUUGGUGUCAUCUGCAAACCUGCUGAAUGUACACUCAAUUCCACUGCGCAUCUCACCUACCGAGAUGCUAAAUAAUACCAGUUCCAGCACUGAUCCCUGAGGAACAACACUUGUCACUGGUCUUCACUUGGACAUUGAGCUGUUGACUGCAACUCUCUCUCUUAGUGCAACCAUACAGCCAGUUCCUUAUCCAGCAAGUGGUCCAUCCAUCAAAUCCAGUUUUUCUCCAAUUUGGCAACCGGGAUAUCAAGUACUUUGCACCAGUCCAGGUAGAUGAUGUGAUUUGCUCUUCCUUUAUCCAUUGACGUUAUAACUCCAUCAUAAAAGACCACCCAGUCUGUCAGGCAUGUCUUACCCUUGGUGAAGCCACGUUGGUUACCACCAAUCACCUUGUCUUUAUUUUCUAUGUGCCUUAGUAGGGCCUUCAGGAGGAUCUGCUCCAUGAUCUCACCAGGCACAGAAGUGAGACUAGCCUGCAGUUCCCUGGAUCUUCUUCUUUUUCCUUCUUGAAAGUGAGGGUCAUUUUCCCUGUUUUCUAAUCAGUGAGAACAAUAGAUAGCAGCUUGAUAACUUCAUGCACCAGUUCCCUUAGAACCUGUGGAUGGAUCUCAUGUACCUGUGGAUGGGUCCCAUGUACUUGUGCACCUUCAGAUUCUUUAGAUACAGUCUUGAACUGGAUCUUCACUUUGUGGGCUGAUGACUCCAGGUCUGAGUUCCUUUCCAAGACCACUGUUGUCUAAACAUGAAGCAGAGAAAGGAAGGUAUUAGAACCAGAGGCAGCUUUUCCAGAGUCACACAAAGGGGUUAGUGCCAGAACUGUGACUUGCCAGUCACUUACGAUCUCAGGUGAUUAUGUUGCCUUUCAAAAUAGAAGUAGCUUUGUCUGGAGGAGACAGGCUCACUUAUUGUUCGUUUAAUGCAUUUACUUUGAACUUUAUACUGUUUUACCGGUAAGCAUUCACAAAAGGCUAAUGUCUGGCUUCUUAAGACUGGAAGCUUUUCACAGAUGGAGAAUGUAUGGCUUAGAAAUUAAUAUACUUUAAAUAGACGUAAGUAACCUUUGAGCCGCUGCCUUCUACAGUAAACAGUUCACCAUUUAUUAAAGGCAUGUAUUAACCUAGUAAUACUUUUCAGGUUUUUAUAAUGAAUCUUCAUACAUAUUUAAAUAUUCUAUCUGCCCAUUACAGCCUUUGUCUUUAGUAGAGUAGCCAGAACAAAAUAGCCUCCAUUUAGAAAUGUAGAUAGAUAAUAGUUUGAAUUAAUGUACAAUUGAAUUCCUCGUGCUUUUUUCUUUACCAGCUGGAAAGCCUCUCACUGUCAGAAAGGCAUUCAGUGUGUUUGACAUUAAGGGUGGCGGAAUGUUUGUGUAAUUAUGAAUGUUAGACUUGCAAACACGCCUUUUGAUUGCAACAGCCUGAACUUCCACAUGUCAAUGGGAAUAUAACUUUUCACGAGAUAAACCUUGGUUUAUGUACCUUGGCAUCGUCACUGUUCAUUUCUAUAUUAUUUCAGUGUGUAUAUCUUUAAAUUGGAUCUGGAUUUUACAUGUACGCACAUUUCAGAUGAGAUGUGGAUAUAAUCUGAAAGAAUUGCCUAAGAACUUGAGGAUGGGACUGAGGAAGUGGAGUGGCUGCAGUCCUUAUCUGAUCUGAGGAGGAGGAAAGGAAUCGAACUGAAGUGGCCAUCAUGUCAUGUGAGGGAUUAUACAUCAGGAAUAUUUGCUAAAAUAUGGAAUGUGAUGAAGGAAGGGCUGUAGAGUGAGAUGGCAGCUUUCUGGAAGACAGCUAGUUUGGCAAGUUGCAUGAUAAGACUGCAAAUGACUGAAGAGUGAAACACAACAAGGCAUAUGGACAAGCAGGACUGGGAAGGCUUGUUUUGUUAAGUGAACUCUCUUUUCUCCAAACUUCACUAUUUGUGUAUCAAAAAGGUUGUGUUGCUUUUUUUUUUCCCCCCCACACCGCUUCCUGGUGACUUUCUGUUGGUUUACAGUCUGUGCGCUCAGUCAGGACUCAUUUUUAAUCUCUGUUGCCUUGUGUGCACCCAGAUCUGUGCUGCCACCAACGUAUUUCCUCCUUCUGGCAAGGACACCUAACUCAGAAGGCACCACACUCACAAAUUAACAGCACAAGUGCUUCAGCUUAAAGUUCUGCAGUGCCUAGGUGGUCAGUAUCUGAAUUAGUCAGUAUCAUUCGGGUUAGCUGUGUAGAAGCACCAAAGGAACAGAGAAUUACAUGGCAAAACUCAGCAAGAUGAAUGGAGAGCUGCUAGAAAUAUACCUGGAAAAGGACUUAAGCUUAGGGAGUGCCUCAAGUUGUGUGAUUGUCUGAGACUCAGAUACCACAGUACCCUUCAGCUUUCCUGAAAUUACCAAUACAGUCUUUUUUUGUUCAAAAUCCCUUACUGUUGUGUUCCUUGCCUGCCACUCCCAGCAUGUGCUAUGCACUAGCUCAGCAGUUAAAUGGCAGCAGACUUGUGCUCAGUUUCUUCCUCUGCCUGAGGGAGCACUAAUCAGUGUCUCUCAUCUUCCAGGAAAGUAUCCUGGCUAUGAAAUACUCUGAAGUGGAAUGGUUGCUGUGUCUCCUUUUGAAGGUGUUUUGCUUUACAUCAAAUAAUUAACUAUUAAUUGGAAGAGCAAGAGAAGAUCAGUUAAUGGAUUAGCUCACACAUCUGGGAGUAUAGUCAUAGUUUGUAAGCCCUAGCUCCAGGGAAUGCUCGUUAUUAGUCUUGCAGUCUGUGUUUAGCCUGGUUUUCUGAGAUCGUCCUUGAUUAGAGUAUCACAGCAGAGGGAAGCAGAGGAAUGUGGAACUGUCCAUAGGUAUGAACAGAAAUGAAAAUCAUUAAAGUUAAGAUGGUACUGGAGAUGUCAGCUAACUUGAGCAAUAGCAGCUGAGUGUGUUGAUAGAUAUUCAGGAUUAAUUAGCAGUAAUAAUUUUAAGUAUCUGAUUUUGGAACACAAGCACCAAAUCUAGUAUCUAAAUCCUCAUUAUGUGCUCAUAUAGCUCUAACCAUGUGUGCCCAUACUGAGAACGUAAGACAUUUUUAAAGUCCCAUGCAAUUUCCUGUGCAGCUAUUAUUGCUUUCAUGCUUUCUAUGUUGUACAAACAUCUUGAACCCUCCUCUUUGUGUCUUCUAUUUUCAUGGCUUCCCAUUUCUAUGUGUGUUGCCACUCACUCUUGCAAGAAUCUGCUAGUUCCUUUUCUUUUCCCCCAGAUUUCAUGUCUAAAAUUGCUCCUUCAAAUAUACUAUUUCCUGUUCUAGUAUCUGUUCUAAACUGAUGAUCUUAGCAAUAUCUUCAGUAGGUUGUUUUUAGCUGUCAUCACUUCCUUAUUGGAGUGUUUUCUGAUAUGAAGUUAACUGACUUAAUGUAUAGCAAUGAUUAUAUUAGUGAUCUUUCUGCUCCCUCUUUGUUUCCUACAGGAAAAAUAAAUCUAUUUUAUCUGGAUUUUUAUUCUUUUUUUUUUUAUUAUUAUUAUUUUAUUGGAGAGUCAUUGUGAAUGUAUCAAGAUUUGAGUCAUAGGAAUGAACCAAAUCAGUUACACUUUUAUCAGUGAUUUAAUGUGGAUGUUAACAUUAACACUUCUCUGUGAACCACAUGUUUUAUCAAAAUCCAGAAAUAGUCAAGAAUACCGAACCAGUUAUGGUAGAUUGCUUUCACUGUCACCAAGCUUUGCUAACUAAAUAGCGUGUUUGGUAAGACUGAUUCAGUAAAUAAGAAAAUCCCAUCAAAACUAAGAAAUUUCUCAAAUAAAGUAUGAGACUUCUCUGAA